RNAcentral lists this ribosomal RNA (253 nucleotides) under uncultured bacterium. Its description in RNAcentral is "partial 16S ribosomal RNA". It matches the Rfam family "Bacterial small subunit ribosomal RNA", at positions 524 to 776 of the family's 1533-position model. The record is from RNAcentral.
UACGAAGGGGGCUAGCGUUGCUCGGAAUCACUGGGCGUAAAGCGCACGUAGGCGGCUUUUUAAGUCAGGGGUGAAAUCCUGGAGCUCAACUCCAGAACUGCCUUUGAUACUGAGAAGCUUGAGUCCGGGAGAGGUGAGUGGAACUGCGAGUGUAGAGGUGAAAUUCGUAGAUAUUGGGAGGAACACCGGUGGCGAAGGCGGCGCUCUGGACCGAGACUGACGCUGAGGCGCGAAAGCGUGGGGAGCAAACAGG